This 442-nucleotide ribosomal RNA is filed under the name uncultured bacterium. RNAcentral's name for it is "partial 16S ribosomal RNA". It matches the Rfam family "Bacterial small subunit ribosomal RNA", at positions 338 to 795 of the family's 1533-position model. The record is from RNAcentral.
CCUACGGGGGGCUGCAGUGGGGAAUAUUGGGCAAUGGGCGCAAGCCUGACCCAGCAACGCCGCGUGAAGGAAGAAGGCUCUCGGGUUGUAAACUUCUUUUUAGAGGGAAGAGCAGACGACGGUACCUCUUGAAUAAGCCAUGGCUAACUACGUGCCAGCAGCUGCGGUAAUACGUAGGUGGCAAGUGUUGUCCGGAUUUACUGGGUGUAAAGGGCGUGCAGCCGGGAAGACAAGUCAGAUGUGAAAUCCCGCGGCUCAACCGCGGAACUGCAUUUGAAACUGUUUUUCUUGAGUACCGGAGAGGUAAUCGGAAUUCGUGGUGUAGCGGUGAAAUGCGUAGAUAUAAGGAAGAACACCAGUGGCGAAGGCAGAUGACUGGACGGCAACUGACGGUGAGGCGCGAAAGCGUGGGGAGCGAACAGGAUUAGAUACCCGAGUAGUC